UGCAACCAUGACUGUACCAGGA
Molecule: non-coding RNA, 22 nt
Filed under: Arabidopsis thaliana (thale cress)
Lineage: Eukaryota; Viridiplantae; Streptophyta; Magnoliopsida; Brassicales; Brassicaceae
Source: RNAcentral